AGUGGGAUAGCUGGGUCAAAUAGUGGUUCCAUUCAACGUGUUCUAAGGAAUCUCCAUACUGCUUUCCAUUGUGGUUGCACCACUUUGAAGUCCCACCAGCAAU
Molecule: microRNA precursor, 103 nt
Filed under: Marmota monax (woodchuck)
Lineage: Eukaryota; Metazoa; Chordata; Mammalia; Rodentia; Sciuridae
Source: RNAcentral